CUUUCCACCUCGGAAACCAGCACGUAUAGACGCACAGGCACACGCGCGCACUUCCACAGCGAUAUCUUCGACACUCAUGUCGCCACGGAGACACCAGCAGCAGUGCCGCCCCCCCCCUCACACAUCCUCUUGCGUUCUGCUUGCUUUUCUCAUAGAUCUAUAGAGGCGCGCGUCGACUCUGCCGUCAGAACAAACGCGCGCACACUUGCGAAGGUAGGUAGGCGUGCACACCCCUGCGCUCUGCGCCUCGACGCCCUGGUAGGCUGCAAGCGAGAGCGCAAGCCUUCUGCGACUUGAUGAGUCGUUCACGGCAUCCCUCGCUACCCUCGUCGUUACCCGCUCCCUCGCCCUGCAGGUAUGCCGCGGCCUCGCGGCGGAAGCGGGUCGUAUCCGCUGCCGGCGCCACAGCGCGAUGCCUCUCCACCACCGGCGCUGCCGCUUUGUGCGGCUCAGGCCCCGCGCAGCACGCCAUGGCGCGUCUUCGGCGCCGAGAUCACCAACCAUAUUCCUACCCCUCCACCGCCGCAAAUGCCGUCGCCGCCGACAGCAGCUGCACCGUUGGGUGUGGCGACAGCAACUCUGUGCGGUGUGGCUGUCGAUGCGCCCCCGAGCCACGCUACUCGUGCGCCAACGUCAUCGUCCAGCUGGCUGGCAGCUGACCCUUGUCGUCGUCUCCGCAGUAGUGGCGACGACGUCGAGUGCAUCCCCUCUUACGAGACGCUACUUGGCGCCAUUCGUGGCGCACGCAUGCCACAAGGACCGCCUCCGCUGGAAGGUGCCCGCCCGUGCUCGCGCUCAUCCAGCAGCAGCGACGCCAGUCUCAGCAAACUUUUCCCUCCGUGGACAGCAGGGGGCGAGGGACGGCAGUCGUGCCUUGAGCCCACCUGCGGCGGCGCGGGCUUCCAAACAGAGGCCUCGACGCCGCCUGCGUCGAAUGCGAAGCGGCGGUUCAGAGACGUCGAAACCGAGGACGGAGGCAGCCGAGCUGGCCCCGAUUCUUCAUGGCCGCGGGCGAAGCACCAGCGUGGGGAGGAAGCCGCUGUUGGCAGCCUCACCGGUGCCCACCCGGCCCCUCCUAUGCAAGAGGGGGGCAUGCGCGACCCAAGCGGUGCGGACAGCAUCUGCGGUGGCGGCGACGUGGAUGUCCGACCCACUCUUCAUACGCUCUCCUCCGAGGACGACGGAGACCCUUGGAGCGCGCGCGGCGGCGUUUGCGGCUUCCUAACCCCGCUGUCGACGAAGCUGUUGUGCCUGCCUCCCGUGGCGUUGAUGCCGCUGCCGCCAUCACAGCAUCUUCACGCGCGCGCGUGCCGUCCAGCAAGUUUGCUUGAUAGAGAGCAUGCUGUACCGGCUUGGCAGGUGCUGGCCUCGGCGUCAACAGCGGCUGAGGAGGAGCAGAGGGAGGGGGUUGGCCGUGUUGCGUCGACAUCCAGCAACACGACUCUGUAUACCCCUGCCCGAGGCAACGUGCACCUCCGCAGUGCCGUUGACGACGCCAUCGUCUAUUCGCCACUGACGCUGGAUGACAUCAGUCCCAUUUUGUGUCUCUCCGAGGAACGGCUUGCGCACCGUCGGAUGCGCGUGGUGGAGUGCGACCGGCGCCCAUCAGCCGAAGUGGACGACGAGGAGCACUGGGCGGACGAAGCGUUUGCUGCAACAUCGCCGUCUACUCCACCUCGUCCAUUUCGUGCGCUGACACCCGCCGAGAGUCGUGGGGACGAGGAGGACAUAAGCGGUAUGGCGCCGGAUCUGCCCACCCAGUACCCCGCAGGUAGCGUCUGCUUUCUUCACGAGGAGGCACUUCGGCUGCUCACUUUUACGUGCGAGGACGAACAUGACCAUCUGCUGCAACGACCCGGUGAGGGAAGUGGGCGAGGAGCGAGCUGUCGGUGUGGCAGCGACCUGGGCAAGUCACCGUGCACUCGAUAGAUAGAUGGAUCCAGGGGGAGGCAGGGGAGGGGGCAGCCUCAAGCGGAGGCACACGGACAAAGAAACAGGAGCGAAGGGCGCUGUUACAGCAUCCGUCGAAGCAUUGAUGCGUAUGCUCGGCAGUGGAUGCUGACGCAGAGGCGAGUUGCAGGAGCUGCGUGUGCGUGUGCUGCUGAUGCGCUGAGAGCUGUCCCAUAAGCCCGGCCAAGAAACGAAAAGAAAGGUGGCGCCCCAUAUCGCGGCGCGCCACUACUGCUUGACCCCCACUCCCUCGUUCGUCCUUUGGCAUCACAAACGUUAGUGGUGCCCAGGCUCGUAUCUCUGGUGCACGUAUGUGUAUGUGAGGGUGGGGGAGGGGCGAAGAGCUGUGAAGGUGGACAGUCGCCAUUCUACUGCUCCCCUCCUCCACCUUUCCUUGCCCGCCCCUCGCCACUGCGUGCUUCGGUGGCACGGGCUCGGUGAAGAUACCCUCUUUCUCUGCUGUCGUGUCUUCGAUGCUGAAGAACUACCGCUUCACCGCCAAGUGUCGGCACCCACAUGCAAACAUAGGGAGCCAAAGAGUCGCCAGUGCCGUUGUACGCGCAGUCUUCUGUAGGCCUGCCUGGCUUCUCUGCUGUGUCUCUCUCUCCUGUUCUCCCAAGGGGGGGAGUGUGUCUGUACGCAUACUGCGGAGCUUGACCCAUCGGUGCAUCUCCUCCGCCAUUCACCACACGCAUCCCCCACCAAAUCCAUGAGCUCACACAUGUAUCCGCGUACGCGUGUAGCUCCUUCUGCUCUCUCUCUCGCCGACAACUUCUUCUCGCCUUCACGCGUUGCCCUCUCUGUUUCUCCGCUCUUGAUAUAUGUGCUGCGUUGAAG
This 2787-nucleotide unclassified non-coding RNA is filed under the name Leishmania donovani. RNAcentral's name for it is "gene:LdHU3.28.3810(CDS-product:hypothetical_prote in_conserved)". The record is from RNAcentral. Lineage: Eukaryota; Euglenozoa; Kinetoplastea; Trypanosomatida; Trypanosomatidae.